Molecule: non-coding RNA, 2420 nt
Organism: Pseudonaja textilis
Lineage: Eukaryota; Metazoa; Chordata; Lepidosauria; Squamata; Elapidae
Source: RefSeq, a predicted model, not a curated record
UACCUUUUUGUUCUACUUGGAAUAAUUUCCAUUUAAUUUUAGACUCACCUCAUUUCCUACAUUUAGAGAGUAAUGAAUAUCAUUGUGACCUUGCUGCUUCCUAAGUUAUUUUGAUGGAUUUUUCUUCAUAUGCUUGAACAUGUAUUGCUUUAAAGAAUAAAUUCAAUAAAUUUUAGACUAACUUUUAAUUUAGCAUAAACCAUGCAGAUUAUAAUCAACUUCUUCAGAUGCAGCAAGGAUACUAAGACAAUUAAACAUAACAAUUUUUCAAAAUAAUCCUAAUAUAUGUAAACAGCAUAAACUUUGAUAACAUGAACCAUAUGCCAGAGAGGAAUUGCAUAGAAUUAGCACGACUAUAACCAAAUAAUUUGUGGAUUUAAAUAAAGAAAGACCAUCUAAAUUGUCUUAAGUUUCCAGAGGAAAGGCAAGAUGUGAUUCUAAUAUAAUUCUAAAUAAUAACAAAUCCUUUUUUUCUUAAAUUCUAGAUCUAAACCUGUGUUUACUUUGCCAGUUAUGAUAAUUGUUAUUUUUAGGGAAACAUGCAUACUUGUAAUUUAUGUCAGUAUUUCAAGUAAGGCCCAGUGCAAUGGUUAGAAAAUAAAAUAGCAAAUUUGUUAACCAAAUCUAUUUAAAAAUAUCAAGGGUAAUGUAAAUACAAGCAGCUGUGUUAGCAAAACAAAAAACAAAAUUAAAUUUGCAAGACUGCUCAGUCUCCACUAUUAAAUUAGUCCACUAAACUAUAUAGGAACAGAAAAGCUGAGAGUGUACUGUAUAAAAAAGAUUUGUCUUUAAUUUUGCACAAUGCAAAUAAAAAGUCUUGUGAUAGCUAGGAUGUGUGAAAUAGAAUUUACUUUGAUUGCUGUGAACUUGAUAACAGCAUUUAAGAAGAAAAAUAAGGUAACAUUGUAAUUAUCUUUUCAAAAAAUAGAAAUUCUAUAUAUUAUUACAAUGGCAAAACAAGUUCUUUUAAAAGCAUUUUAAUCAGAAAUAUAGUACUAAAACAGUUGUAUAAUGUCCAUUAGCUUGAAAACAACACCAUGCUUUGUAUGGCAUGCCAGGUUCUGUGGGCAAAGCUAGGUUUCUAAUUUUAAGAUCUUUUUUUCUUCUGGGUUCUUCAGCUGUGGAAUAGAAUUGUAAAUUUCCACAAACUAGAGAGGCAUAUUGUCCCAAACCCCUUCUCUAUGAGAAAAAUAACACAAAUAUUUGGCUCUUUUCUUUUGUGUGUUGCUUUGGUUGAUCCAAAUAAAUAUUGAUGGGAGACCUGCUACCUAUAAACCAGAUUUUUGGACUACAGAAUCAGACUAGGAAUAACUAAAUGAGUAAACUGUUUUUUAAGAAUUAAAAAGCAAAAAGUUAAAAGGGGAGUUAAAAGAGAACACUGUUCAUGUAGAUAGAAAAUGCAAUGUGCCUUUUUAUGGGAGCAUGAUUCUAUCAAAGUCAAAGAUAAGCUGAAUAGUUAAAUAACUGUAUACAUUUAUAUUAAAAAUAAAUAACUCUUCCAAAAAUGAAUAAAUGAUGUACCCACAAUAAUGCUAACUGUUUGGUCCAUAGAGUAACAGUCACUAAGUGAUUUUAUAUUCCACAAGGGUUUAAACUACAUUUCUUUUCAAAGACAGUGUUAGAGUUCUGGAAGGCUAUUUAUAAUGUGAUAAAUUGUGCCUUUGAUUUAGCCCGCUAUAAUACUGGCCUAUAGUUAAAUCAGUGGCACAGUUUAUUAGACUAUAUACAUGAAUGUUUUUGGAAUGAAGAUGAUACUUGAAAUGUCCCCCAGCAUAAUUAAUAUUUAUGUUCUGAGAAUCAUUAAGAUCAUAAUGCAGCAGUCCUGCAAAUUUUACUGUAUUAUAUUAUGUAUUUUCUAUGCACAAAAUAUAAUUUGUAGAAACAAAAAUAGUAUUGUUAAAAUAUCAUUACAGCGUUUUGAAUUGACUAAAAUAUAAUAUUCAGGAACUCAAAAUACUAAAAUUAGGAUUUAAAGAUUCUGGAAGAAUUAAAAAGUACGUAUUUGUUGUGUUGCCACAAUGAUGGUGAAUGAGAGAAUCAAGAAGUCACCAUUUAUAACCAGGGAAUAAAAGGAGGGUGCCUUUUUCUCAAAUAGUCAUUAUUGCAUCAGAUCAGGGCUAGAUUUUUAUAAAGAAUUGUCAGUUUGAAGUACUGCGUGUGUAAUGUGAAAGGCCAUUUUCUGACAUGCUACUUCCAAAUUAUUUAAGGCAUUGUAGUCUUAAUGGUUAAAAUCAGGACUUUGAAUUGGACCAAUGUAUCUAAUUCUAUAUAAUGAGAGCCAGUAUAAUCAUUAGUGUAAUGUUAUUACACAUAAAAGAAGGGAUGAAAUAUCUUGUGACUGUUCUGGGACACCUCACAACUUAAUUAUGUUCCAACAACUAAGCAAUUAAUAUUGCUUCUGUCUAGUGAAUUUGUGAUAC